GCUUGUCUCAAAGAUUAAGCCAUGCAUGUCUAAGUAUAACUCUUUUACUUUGAAAACUGCGAACGGCUCAUUAUAUCAGUUAUAGUUUAUUUGAUGGUACUUACUUACUCGGAUAACCGUAGUAAUUCUAGAGCUAAUACGUGCGUAAAUCCCGACUUCUGGAAGGGACGUAUUUAUUAGAUAAAAGGCCGACCGGGCUCUGCCCGACUCGCGGUGAAUCAUGAUAACUUCACGAAUCGCACGGCCUCGUGCCGGCGAUGUUUCAUUCAAAUUUCUGCCCUAUCAACUUUUGAUGGUAGGAUAGAGGCCUACCAUGGUGGUAACGGGUGACGGAGGAUUAGGGUUCGAUUCCGGAGAGGGAGCCUGAGAAACGGCUACCACAUCCAAGGAAGGCAGCAGG
This 400-nucleotide ribosomal RNA is filed under the name Chloroparva pannonica. RNAcentral's name for it is "partial small subunit ribosomal RNA". It matches the Rfam family "Eukaryotic small subunit ribosomal RNA", at positions 30 to 432 of the family's 1831-position model. Lineage: Eukaryota; Viridiplantae; Chlorophyta; Trebouxiophyceae; Chlorellales; Chlorellaceae. The record is from RNAcentral.